This 861-nucleotide ribosomal RNA is filed under the name uncultured archaeon. RNAcentral's name for it is "bacterial SSU rRNA". It matches the Rfam family "Archaeal small subunit ribosomal RNA", at positions 26 to 893 of the family's 1478-position model. The record is from RNAcentral.
ACUGCUAUCGGAUUGAUACUAAGCCAUGCGAGUCUUUGUAGCAAUACAAGGCAGACGGCUCAGUAACACGUAGUCAAUCUACCCUAUGGACGGGGAUAACCUCGGGAAACUGAGAAUAAUACUCGAUAGAUCAUAGCUCCUGGAAUGGUUUAUGGUCAAAAUGAUUUAUCGCCGUAGGAUGGGACUGCGGCCUAUCAGUUUGUUGGUGGGGUAAUGGCCCACCAAGACAAUUACAGGUACGGGCUCUGAGAGGAGUGGCCCGGAGAUGGGUACUGAGAAACGGACCCAGGCCCUAUGGGGCGCAGCAGGCGAGAAAACUUUGCAAUGUGCGAAAGCACGACAAGGUUAAUCCGAGUGAUUUCUGCUAAAGAAAUCUUUUGUCGGUCGUAGAAUCACCGAUGAAUAAGGGGUGGGCAAGUUCUGGUGUCAGCCGCCGCGGUAAAACCAGCACCUCAAGUGGUCAGGAGGGUUAUUGGGCCUAAAGCAUCCGUAGCCUGUUGUAUCAGUUUUCGGUUAAAUCUAUACGCUCAACGUAUGGGCUGCCGGGAAUACUGUACAGCUAGGGAGUGGGAGAGGUAGACGGUACUCGGUAGGAAGGGGUAAAAUCCUUUGAUCUAUUGAUGACCACCUGUGGCGAAAGCGGUCUACCAGAACACGUCCGACGGUGAGGGAUGAAAGCUGGGGGAGCAAACCGGAUUAGAUACCCGGGUAGUCCCAGCUGUAAACAAUGCAAACUCAGUGAUGCAUUGGCUUGUGGCCAGUGCAGUGCCGCAGGGAAGCCGUUAAGUUUGCCGCCUGGGAAGUACGUACGCAAGUAUGAAACUUAAAGGAAUUGGCGGGGGAGCACCACAAGGGGUGAAG